RNAcentral lists this long non-coding RNA (823 nucleotides) under Nicotiana benthamiana. RNAcentral describes it as "long non-coding RNA (NBEN_LNC013715)". The record is from RNAcentral. Lineage: Eukaryota; Viridiplantae; Streptophyta; Magnoliopsida; Solanales; Solanaceae.
AUAUGCGUGUACUCUUUAAAACAAAAUAAAGUGUUUGGUAUGUAUCAUGUGUCAUCAAGGACAGCGAGCCAUGGUCACAGGUUUCUUAUGUGAAAAUAGCCUAUUACAGAAAUGCGAAAGGUUGGGCAGAAAUGCAAGGAAAAAUUGGUAAAUUCUGGAUAGUGCAUAUAGUAGGAGCUUAAUGCACCAAACUGUCCAUAUAGUAGUGGAAUUUGUAGUUGUAAAUAUUCAUGACUAUAAAAGGACGUUAAGGGUUUAAUGGAAGUUUAUUAUGUGUUGUGGAAAAGUCUAAAAAUAGGAUAUUGAGACGUGUCAUGAGAAAUGAGAAGAGGUAAUUUUUUUUGAGAAAUUUGAGUUUACAAAUCAUUACUUAUAUUGUUUGUAUUGGUGUUUCUGUAACUGCAGGAAAGGAUCAAAGUCUGGUGCUUCAAUGAAGUGUUCUGGUUGUAGAGGUAGUGGUAUGAAGGUUUCAAUUAGACAACUUGGCCCGUCAAUGAUCCAGCAAAUGCAGCACCCUUGUAAUGAAUGCAAGGGUACUGGAGAGACUAUUGACGAUAAGGAUCGGUGCCCUCAAUUCCUUGUAAUGAAUGUAAGGGUACUGGAGAGACUAUUGACGAUAAGGAUCGGUGCCCUCAAUGCAAAGGUGAAAAAGUGGUUCAGGAGAAGAAAGUCCUAGAAGUUCAUGUUGAAAAAGGCAUGCAAAAUGGACAGAAAAUUACAUUCCCCGGAGAGGCUGAUGAAGCGGUAAGAUGACGUAUUUUCCCUCUUGUAUUCGUAUAUAUCAAUCUUACCGAAGCCUACGGUAGUUGCUUACUUGGUUAUC